AUGUCGACUUUAUCCUUUUGUCCUCUCAACUUCUCAUCGAUUUUUAUGCGUGGAGAAUGGCGAAUAUUCCAUGAAUCAGCUCUCAAAACCUACUACAAUAUUCUGUUUAAUCUACGUUUUGAAGAGCUUCCAGUAUCAUCUGAUCCAACAAUUACAGCUGAGACGAUGGAUCGAGAGUGUGAACCAUUUGUUAUCGAGUUACCCGAAAAUAUAAAUGUGAAUGAUCUGAUCAAUAAUAUGAAGAAACACACAAAUGUUUCAACUGUAAAGAUGCGGCGACAGGAGAAAAAUCCGAUAAACGAUAAGGCGAAACCAAAGACUACAGUUCGUUACAUCGUCUCCGUCUCCGGAACUCUCGAAUCAAUUCAAAUGCUCAAAAAGCUUUCAGCAGUUACAAUUCCAAUCAAAAGUCAUUGGGAAGGAGAAGAAGUAUCACAACAGAUGGCAUCUCUUUGCUAUCAAAAAGUUAUGAAUGGUGAAUUUUAAUCUCGUAUUUUUGUUGAAAUAUGCCAUAGACUCUGUUAAUGUUUUUUCUUCACUUACAUUUUCAAACCUUGUACUAUUUUUUCUGUUUUAUUUAUUUUUAAUUCCUUCUACCAUUUGUAUUUGUGUGUAAACUGACCAAUUCCAUCAUCAAAUGAUUGAUUAAUAAUUUUAAAAUAUUUUCUCCGUGGUAUAAAACAUUUAUUUAUUUU
Molecule: unclassified non-coding RNA, 695 nt
Filed under: Caenorhabditis elegans
Lineage: Eukaryota; Metazoa; Nematoda; Chromadorea; Rhabditida; Rhabditidae
Description: Non-coding transcript of protein-coding gene rrf-1
Source: RNAcentral